Molecule: long non-coding RNA, 236 nt
Organism: Aquila chrysaetos chrysaetos
Lineage: Eukaryota; Metazoa; Chordata; Aves; Accipitriformes; Accipitridae
Exons: 3
Source: RefSeq, a predicted model, not a curated record
CGCCCGGCCCCAGUCCUGGCCCCUUGCCGCCCUCCGCGUCCGGCCGGAGCUCGGAGGUGAACUGAAUAUAUUAGUAUCCACAUUUCCAACAAGACCUCAUUUUGAUCUCUGUACAUUUAGACAUUCCAUGGCAAGGGUCCACCUCCUCUUUCUACAGUGAGCCACGGCAGUCCAUGGCACGAUAUCAUCAGUGAACAGAGACAGAGGUUGUACACCAGCAAAACCACUAAGUGUUC